Molecule: long non-coding RNA, 681 nt
Organism: Diceros bicornis minor
Lineage: Eukaryota; Metazoa; Chordata; Mammalia; Perissodactyla; Rhinocerotidae
Exons: 3
Source: RefSeq, a predicted model, not a curated record
AACUAAUGGAAGGAGUACGGAAGAUGCUCCUGCGUUUACCUGUACUACCUGAGCUUGAGUUAGUGCUGGAAGGAGAGGAACUGUGGACCCCAACUGUAUUACUGGAGGACGAUGUAGUAGGCAUAUGACAGCCAUGAUCACUCCCCUCUCAGUAAAAUGCCCCACGCUGUCUCAGUUGGCCAGCACCAGAUGUACCAUGGAACUCAACAAGUUAUUUACCUGAGCUUCACAGAGUCACAGACCAGACUAAGAGUGAAGAGCCAAGAACUUGUGCUGCUGAAGGCCCAGAUACGCUUCUACUUCAGGGAUUCGUAGUUGUAUGGUCAAUCUUGCUAUUCUGGUAACUACUGUUUUCCACUGGUUUUCAUAAUGUGCCAUGAUUUGGUUCCAAUUUUGUUUUGUUUUGCUUUGUUUCUAAAUUUCACUUAAUUCCUUAACCAUAAUGUUCACACCCUCUUUGUCAACUUGAAUCAGACUAUUUCAUUUUUUUGUUUCUUUGCACCCAAAACUAUCUACUAAACAAUAACAAAUAACUACAUAAAAUGACAAGCCCUCCAUUUUAUCAUCCUUACAGAUACAUUAUGAGAUUGAUCAAGUAAAAUAGUUUUAUGUCCUUGAAGAAAUACGUGACAAAAAUGGAAAAUAUUUUCUUUUUCAGAUAUGCAUUCAUAAAUAUUUGAU